AUUGAACGCUGGCGGCAGGCCUAACACAUGCAAGUCGAGCGAGCGGCGGACGGGUGAGUAAUGUAUGGGAAACUGCCUGCUGGCAGGGGAUAACUACUGGAAACGGUAGCUAAUACCCCCUAUCAUCAGAUGUGACCAGAUGGGAUUAGGUAGUUUGUGGGGUAAAGACGUACCAAGGCGCGGCUCUGUAGCGGGUCUGAGAGGAUGAUCCGCCACACUGGGAUGGAGACACGGCCCAGACUCCUAAGGGGGACAGCAGUGGGGAAUAUGGGACAAUUGGGGGAAACCUGAUCCAACCAAGCCGCGUGUGUGAGUAAGGCCUUAUGGUUGGAAAGCACUUUAAGCGAGGAGGCGUUACUCGCAGAAUAAGCACCGGCUAACUCUGUGCCAGCAGCCGCGGUAAUAC
RNAcentral lists this ribosomal RNA (406 nucleotides) under uncultured bacterium. RNAcentral's name for it is "partial 16S ribosomal RNA". It matches the Rfam family "Bacterial small subunit ribosomal RNA", at positions 30 to 526 of the family's 1533-position model. The record is from RNAcentral.